CCUACGGGAGGCAGCAGUGAGGAAUAUUGGUCAAUGGACGUAAGUCUGAACCAGCCAAGUAGCGUGCAGGAUGACUGCCCUAUGGGUUGUAAACUUCUUUUAUGUGGUAAUAAAAUGUGCCACGUGUGGGGUUUUGUAUGUACCAUAUGAAUAAGGAUCGGCUAAUUCCGUGCCAGCAGCCGCGGUAAUACGGAGGAUCCGAGCGUUAUCCGGAUUUAUUGGGUUUAAAGGGAGCGUAGGUGGCAUGUUCAGUAAGUUGUGAAAGUUUGCGGCUCAACCGUAAAAGUGCAGUGGAUACUGGCAGUCUUGAGUACAGUGAAGGUAGGAGGAAUUCGUGGUGUAGCGGUGAAAUGCUUAGAUAUCACGAAGAACUCCGAUUGCGAAGGCAGUUUACGGAACCGCUACUGACACUGAGGCUCGAAAGUGGGGGUAUCGAACAGGAUUAGAUACCCGGGUAGUC
RNAcentral lists this ribosomal RNA (460 nucleotides) under uncultured bacterium. Its description in RNAcentral is "partial 16S ribosomal RNA". It matches the Rfam family "Bacterial small subunit ribosomal RNA", at positions 338 to 795 of the family's 1533-position model. The record is from RNAcentral.